This 492-nucleotide ribosomal RNA is filed under the name Triticum aestivum (bread wheat). RNAcentral describes it as "partial small subunit ribosomal RNA". The record is from RNAcentral. Lineage: Eukaryota; Viridiplantae; Streptophyta; Magnoliopsida; Poales; Poaceae.
AUGGGGUCGAAGCGGACACUAAACGGACAAAAAGGCAAAAUGGGGUUGCGCGUUGGGUCGUUGGUUUUGUACCUUUUACUUCAAACGGACGGGGCGGACAAUUUAAAAUCGUGCGGUGGAGUUGGCCUAAAGGUGGAACAGGGCCAUCAAUGGCAGUGCAGCUUUUGCAUCAGAAUCAACAGGACAGAGGCUAAAAUAGUACGGCGUCGUAGGGAGGGAAUAGGGGGGUGGUUGGUUUGGGUUGGCAAUGAUGCGAAAGGGUGGCUCUGUCCUCUGCUGUUCGGUGGUCUGCCUGCAUUCGGUUCGGCUAUGGAGAUCAGAUCAAUGUGUUGCAUGGCUGGAGGUUUCUUUUUUUUUGCUCUUCUUUUCUCAAGGCAAUCCUUGAGACGCAUCAUGAUGGUGUGCAUGCGGCAUGCACAUGGAUGGAUGGCGCGCGGAAAUCAACUCAUGAUGCACUCCAAAGUUUGUUUUCCAAGUUGUACUCCUAGAUAA